GAAAGUUUCAUGGAGGAACUGUCUUGGGAAGUAGGUUUUAAAGUGUGGAAGGGUGUAGAAGUCUUCUGAACAUGUAGAAAGGAUGCCCCCAGUACCGAAGAGGGAACCCCUGCACCUUGGAUAUUUUGGCGACGAUGGGAUGCUUUGUGGUUGAAGAUACAGCCCAGUCCUCACUGCCAUCAUCCAGGGAGACAGCUCCUAUGGACAAGGGGCCAGCAACCUCCACCAGCCGCCACCUACAGAGCAAUUUAGCCAGCCU
This is a long non-coding RNA of Dromiciops gliroides (monito del monte), 259 nucleotides long. RefSeq lists it as uncharacterized. NCBI's taxonomy places the organism in Eukaryota, Metazoa, Chordata, Mammalia, Microbiotheria, Microbiotheriidae. The record is from RefSeq and is a predicted model, not a curated record. The transcript is spliced from 3 exons.